Molecule: ribosomal RNA, 321 nt
Filed under: uncultured eukaryote
Lineage: Eukaryota
Description: partial 18S ribosomal RNA
Rfam family: Eukaryotic small subunit ribosomal RNA
Source: RNAcentral
CCCUUAGAUGUUCUGGGCCGCACGCGUGCUACACUGAGUGGAUCAGCGGGUCAGGUUGCGCGAAAGCGUUUCCUAAUCUUUAAAUCCGCUCGUGAUGGGGAUUGACGGUUGCAAUUUUCUGUCAUGAACGAGGAAUACCUUGUAAGCGCGGGUCAUCAUCCCGCGCUGAAUACGUCCCUGCCCUUUGUACACACCGCCCGUCGCACCUACCGAUUGAAUGGUCCGGUGAAGCCUCGGGAUUGUGGUUAGUUUCCUUCAUUGGAAGUUAGCCGCGAGAACUUGUCUAAACCUUAUCAUUUAGAGGAAGGUGAAGUCGUAACA